This 1045-nucleotide long non-coding RNA is filed under the name Astyanax mexicanus (Mexican tetra). Its description in RNAcentral is "lncRNA (ENSAMXG00005002753.1)". Lineage: Eukaryota; Metazoa; Chordata; Actinopteri; Characiformes; Acestrorhamphidae. The record is from RNAcentral.
UCUAUAUUUUAUCACAAUGAAAGUCUGUGGGGGUAAAUCCAUUACGCUGUUAAUAGUCAAGUACUAGUCGAAUCUAUAUAAACAUAUAGGUUAUUGUAUGUUUUUAUUAAGCAUAUUGCCUUUACAUAUACCAAAUGAAGUUAAUAUAUAUAUAUCGACUCAAAGAAUAGAUAUUAUAUUUUGUUGGGAUGGGAAUGGGGGGCUGUGAUCAAACGAAGGAAGUGUAAUGCUAUAAAGAAAGGGCCAUGUUCCCGCGUACUGAGGGAGAAGGGGAAGGGGGAGGGGGGUGUGGCGUUAAAAAAAAGAGAAAAAAGCCCACUCUGGACUCAUCUCGUCUCUGGCCUGGGAAACAGACGCAAGAUCAGCGAGGAUGCGCCUCCCAGUCGAAGCCCCUGAGUCCGCCUCGUGAUGCAGUCUCCAUAGCGACUACAGUUUCCUGGGAAGCAAGAAACGCAUGGAGGGUUUUGCUGAUGGGCGUCAAUAUCACACAAUCAACUGACCUGCGACCCUAUUCCAAACGGUCACAGCAACACAGUUUCAAAGACCUUUGAGGUAGAUCCACACCGUGCCUAGGACUGUUCAUCAACCAUUCCACUGACAAGAAGGUUUUCAAAGCACAGGACAAAAAUGCAUCUGAGGACAGAGGAAUGAUGUCCGAAACGCUCAAUAUUGUCCUCUCUACCAGAUCCACACUCUAGAAGUGGCCUUUUUCUAGGGAUUCACUGCCAGGCCGAAUAUAGAAUAGCCAGAAGAUAUCAGCAUACAAUGAUGGCAGCUGUUAAACUUUGAAAAAGUGGGACAAAAGCUGACCAUCUUUGGCAUAACUGUCCACUGCUGUGGGACAUAUAUUGCAGAGGUUUUCAAUGUGUCCUUCAUGUAUUCAGAGUUUGUGCUGUAAUCAAACCAGAUGUCUGCAUAUAGAUUUGUCAUCAUUAUAAAAAUACUGCCUAAUUAUUUACUAUAUACAGUAACUCACUGCCUACUUAAUGACUAUAUUAGACAUUCCAAUCACUGAAUAACUGAGAAUAUUAAAGUUUAUUAUGCU